GGGGAAUUUUGGACAAUGGGCGAAAGCCUGAUCCAGCAAUGCCGCGUGCAGGAUGAAGGCCCUCGGGUUGUAAACUGCUUUUGUACGGCACGAAAAGCCUGAGGCUAAUAUCCUCGGGUCAUGACGGUACCGUAAGAAUAAGCACCGGCUAACUACGUGCCAGCAGCCGCGGUAAUACGUAGGGUGCAAGCGUUAAUCGGAAUUACUGGGCGUAAGGCGUGCGCAGGCGGUUUUGUAAGACAGUGGUGAAAUCCCCGGGCUCAACCUGGGAACUGCCAUUGUGACUGCAAGGCUGGAGUGCGGCAGAGGGGGAUGGAAUUCCGCGUGUAGCAGUGAAAUGCGUAGAUAUGCGGAGGAACACCGAUGGCGAAGGCAAUCCCCUGGGCCUGCACUGACGCUCAUGCACGAAAGCGUGGGGAGCAAAC
Molecule: ribosomal RNA, 425 nt
Filed under: uncultured bacterium
Lineage: Bacteria
Description: bacterial SSU rRNA
Rfam family: Bacterial small subunit ribosomal RNA
Source: RNAcentral